Molecule: unclassified non-coding RNA, 271 nt
Filed under: plant metagenome
Description: partial contains small subunit ribosomal RNA, internal transcribed spacer 1, and 5.8S ribosomal RNA
Source: RNAcentral
UUUCCGUAGGUGAACCUGCGGAAGGAUCAUUAAUGAGUUGUCAUGGGGUUCGAUGCUGGCAGCCAGUUUUUGGAUGCAUGUGCUUGCCCUAACAAUCAUCUUCUUCCAAACACCUGUGCACAUUUUGAGGGAGUCUUGAGUUGGUUGCCGCUCUUGGGUGAUUUUCUCACAUUCCCUUAAAUCAUUAUAACCUAUUAACAAUGUUGAACGUGCUCUGUUCCGCAAGGACAUUAAUAUAAUACAACUUUUAACAACGGAUCUCUUGGCUCUC